UUGGAGGGCAAGUCUGGUGCCAGCAGCCGCGGUAAUUCCAGCUCCAAUAGCGUAUAUUAAAGUUGUUGCAGUUAAAAAGCUCGUAGUUGACUUUCGGGAUCAAUUUGUUGGUCGUGCCCUAGGUACGUACUAAUUUAUUGGUUUCUUCCUUCUGACGAACCAUAAUGUCAUUAAUUUGAUGUCAGGGAGAAUCAGGACUGUUACUUUGAAAAAAUUAGAGUGUUUAAAGCAGGCUCACGCUUGAAUACAUUAGCAUGGAAUAAUGAAAUAGGACGUUUUGAUUCUAUUUUGUUGGUUUCUAGGAUCGACGUAAUGAUUAAUAGGGAUAGUUGGGGGCAUUAGUAUUCAAUUGUCAGAGGUGAAAUUCUUGGAUUUAUUGAAGACUAACUACUGCGAAAGCAUUUGCCAAGGAUGUUGUCAUUAAUCAAGAACGAAAGUUAGGGGAUCGAAGACGAUCAGAUACCGUCGUAGUCUUAACCAUAAACGAUGCCGACUAGGGAUCGGAUGAUGUUAAUUUGUUAAUGACUCAUUCGGCGCCUUACGGGAAAC
RNAcentral lists this ribosomal RNA (549 nucleotides) under uncultured Glomeromycotina. Its description in RNAcentral is "SSU rRNA". It matches the Rfam family "Eukaryotic small subunit ribosomal RNA", at positions 548 to 1098 of the family's 1831-position model. Lineage: Eukaryota; Fungi; Glomeromycota. The record is from RNAcentral.